GUGGAGACUGGACAGCUGGACCUGGACAGGUGGAGCCUGCUUCCCCUUGACUUCGGCAGCAGAAUCCGAACAAUAAAGAUAAAUGUUCUUCCAAGACUAUUGUACAUAUUUGCAGCACUUCCAGUAGAGGUUCCAGCAAAACAAUUUAGGGAGUGGAAUAAGCGUUUUUCAAGGUUUAUAUGAAGCAAUAAAAGGUCAAGAGUAAGAUACUCGACCCUGCAGCUGCCUGGGGAUCAGGGCGGGAUGGGCCUGCCUUGCCUGGUGGAUUAUUACAUGUCUGCCCAGAUUAAACCUCUGGUGUACUGGUGUAAUCCAGCCUAUGAGGCUAAAUGGAAAGACAUUGAGCUUUCUUUGUUGGAC
Molecule: long non-coding RNA, 360 nt
Organism: Xiphophorus hellerii (green swordtail)
Lineage: Eukaryota; Metazoa; Chordata; Actinopteri; Cyprinodontiformes; Poeciliidae
Exons: 3
Source: RefSeq, a predicted model, not a curated record